This is an RNA transcript of Suncus etruscus (white-toothed pygmy shrew), 1271 nucleotides long. It is a transcript of the gene named general transcription factor IIE subunit 2, with no coding region annotated. The transcript is spliced from 8 exons. The record is from RefSeq and is a predicted model, not a curated record. Lineage: Eukaryota; Metazoa; Chordata; Mammalia; Eulipotyphla; Soricidae.
AUGGAUCCAAGCCUCCUGAGGGAACGGGAGCUAUUCAAAAAACGAGCCCUUUCCACUCCUGUUGUAGAAAAACGCUCAGUUACUUCUGGCUCAUCAUCGUCUUCAUCAUCAUCAUCAAAGAAGAAGAAAGCAAAACUAGAACAUGGAAGUUCAUCAAGCUCUAAACAAAAUUCUGAUCAUAGCAACGGAUCAUUUAACUUGAAAGCACUAUCAGGAAGCUCUGGAUAUAAGUUUGGUGUUCUUGCUAAGAUUGUGAAUUACAUGAAAACACGGCAUCAGCGAGGAGAUACACAUCCUCUAACUUUAGAAGAAAUUUUGGAUGAAACACAACAUUUAGAUAUUGGACUCAAGCAGAAACAAUGGCUAAUGAGUGAGGCUUUAGUUAAUAAUCCCAAAAUUGAAGUAAUAAAUGGGAAGUAUGCCUUCAAGCCCAAAUACAAUUUGAAAGAUAAGAAGGCCCUGCUUAGGCUUUUAGAUCAGCAUGACCAGCGAGGCUUAGGAGGAAUUCUUUUAGAAGACAUAGAGGAAGGAUUACCCAAUUCUCAGAAAGCUGUCAAGGCCUUAGGAGAUGAGAUACUAUUUGUUAAUCGACCUGAUAAGAAGAAAAUUCUUUUCUUCAAUGAUAAGAGCUGUCAAUUUUCUGUGGAUGAAGAAUUUCAGAAACUGUGGAGGAGUGUCACUGUGGAUUCCAUGGAUGAGGAGAAAAUUGAAGAGUAUCUCAAGCGACAGGGUAUUUCUUCCAUGCAGGACUCUGGACCAAAGAAAGUGGCCCCUAUUCAGAGAAGGAAAAAACCAGCUUCACAGAAAAAGCGGAGGUUUAAGACUCAUAAUGAGCACUUGGCGGGAGUGCUGAAGGACUACUCAGACAUGGCUCCGAGCAAAUAGUAUGCAGAAUGGCCCUGAGCGGAGUUACAAAUUGUCAAGAGCUUUGUUGUGGUUGCUGUGACCUGGAGACUGAUUGCCUUCCUAGGACUGAGGAGAGCAGCAGUACAGUUUACAAAACAAAUCACCAAACUCAGAACCUGUUUGAAUGGAGUGGCUCACGAGAAAUGUGAUCCUUCCUUUAAAUUUCUUAACGUCAUGGGGGAAAGGUGCUUAUUAGCAUGGCAUGCAGAUGUCUUUGCUAUUUAUCUCUACUCAGUGGUCCCUGGUUGGUUCCAUUCUGCCUUUUAUUACUUUGGAACAGGUUUGCAGAUAAUCUUGAACACAAUAUUUGUUUAUUCCCUCAGAACGUAUUUAUAAUAAAAUCAUUUAAAAUGGAAAAAAAAAAA